RNAcentral lists this ribosomal RNA (253 nucleotides) under uncultured bacterium. RNAcentral's name for it is "partial 16S ribosomal RNA". It matches the Rfam family "Bacterial small subunit ribosomal RNA", at positions 524 to 776 of the family's 1533-position model. The record is from RNAcentral.
UACGGAGGUUGCGAGCGUUGUUCGGAAUAACUGGGCGUAAAGGGAGCGCAGGCGGUUCGGCAAGUCUAAAGUGAAAGCCCGGGGCUUAACCUCGGAAGUGCUUUGGAUACUACCGAACUCGAGUUCGUGAGAGGAAAGCGGAAUUCCAGGUGUAGCGGUGAAAUGCGUAGAUAUCUGGAGGAACACCGGUGGCGAAAGCGGCUUUCUGGCACGAUACUGACGCUGAGGCUCGAAAGCAUGGGGAGCGAACAGG